RNAcentral lists this non-coding RNA (25 nucleotides) under Rattus norvegicus (Norway rat). The record is from RNAcentral. Lineage: Eukaryota; Metazoa; Chordata; Mammalia; Rodentia; Muridae.
UUUAUCUUUUUAGUGCCUGGAAACC